CUACGUGCCAGCAGCCGCGGUAAUACGUAGGUCCCGAGCGUUAUCCGGAUUUAUUGGGCGUAAAGCGAGCGCAGGCGGUUAGAUAAGUCUGAAGUUAAAGGCUGUGGCUUAACCAUAGUACGCUUUGGAAACUGUUUAACUUGAGUGCAGAAGGGGAGAGUGGAAUUCCAUGUGUAGCGGUGAAAUGCGUAGAUAUAUGGAGGAACACCGGUGGCGAAAGCGGCUCUCUGGUCUGUAACUGACGCUGAGGCUCGAAAGCGUGGGGAGCGAACAGGAUUAGAUACCCUGGUAGUCCACGCCGUAAACGAUGAGUGCUAGGUGUUAGGUCCUUUCCGGGACUUAGUGCCGCAGCUAACGCAUUAAGCACUCCGCCUGGGGAGUACGACCGCAAGGUUGAAACUCAAAGGAAUUGACGGGGGCCCGCACAAGCGGUGGAGCAUGUGGUUUAAUUCGAAGCAACGCGAAGAACCUUACCAGGUCUUGACAUCCCGAUGCCCGCUCUAGAGAUAGAGCUUUA
Molecule: ribosomal RNA, 517 nt
Filed under: uncultured bacterium
Lineage: Bacteria
Description: bacterial SSU rRNA
Rfam family: Bacterial small subunit ribosomal RNA
Source: RNAcentral